Long non-coding RNA from Ipomoea nil (Japanese morning glory), 676 nucleotides. RefSeq lists it as uncharacterized. The record is from RefSeq and is a predicted model, not a curated record. NCBI's taxonomy places the organism in Eukaryota, Viridiplantae, Streptophyta, Magnoliopsida, Solanales, Convolvulaceae. The transcript has 4 exons.
GCAGGAAGCGAAAGAGUUGGUUUUGGUGGCGAAGAUAGCAAUGGCCUGUUUAAAUGUGAAUCCAUAAUGUUGGCCAAGCAUGGAACUGGUUUGUGUGUUGCUAAUAAGCAAAGAAAGGCAAUCCUCAAAUUCACUUCCACUGCAGAUCACAAUAAACCUACCAAUUGUUCGGUGGUCUUGAAUUUCCUACUCCGAUCCUUAGAAGGUAGGGUAGGUUGAAGUCUUAUUCAUGCCAGCCGCCAGGAUUCAUUCAACAGUUAGCCGUAGUUACAACCCAAUUUCUUUAAUUUGACGACGACUUUGCAAACCAUGCAUGCCAGUUGUGCAAAUUAUGACUGACACCAAUUAAGACUCUGCUGUCAUGCUCAUGCAUGCCGCCUUAGCUUACAAUAAUCAUGCAGAUACUAUACACUGCUGGAAUUUGAUCGACAUCAUGGUACAUGUAUAUAUUGUUCGAUGGAAGAAGCCCGCAUCCAUUUGAAUGUCAACAACUAUAACAUCAACAAAUAAUCUUGAUCGGUGUACGUCAUACACAUUAUUUAUCAUCACAUUCUAACAAGCAAUCAACUCAAUCAGUGACGAAGAAGUGGAGAAGCUAGCUGAUCUUUUGUUGGUAGAGUUUGCCUAUACUAUGGAGGUCGAUCACUGAAACAUGUGAUGUGUUUAGCUUCAGAGU